Molecule: RNA transcript, 2186 nt
Organism: Vicugna pacos (alpaca)
Lineage: Eukaryota; Metazoa; Chordata; Mammalia; Artiodactyla; Camelidae
Gene: NIPSNAP3A
Gene name: nipsnap homolog 3A
Source: RefSeq, a predicted model, not a curated record
CCGGAGGCGGAGCCCAGUCCCGCCCCGAGCUUGCGUCUACCCCUGGUGUAGGCGCUGCUCCCUGCCAGUGGGGAAGCCACAGGAGGAGGAAUUUAAGAAAGAAUACCCGCCGUCUGCCCUCCUCAGCGCCCGGAGCCGCGCCAUGCUAGCCCUCCGAAGCAGCCUGACUAGAGCUGUGGCCGCGCGGACGCCGGCGCCUCAGGUGUGCUCAUCUUUUGCUACAGGCCCCAGACAAUACGAUGGAACAUUCUAUGAGUUUCGUACCUAUUAUCUUAAACCAUCAAAGAUGAAAGAGUUCCUGGAAAAUGUUAAGAAAAACAUUCAUCUUCGGACAGCUCACUCUGAAUUGGUUGGAUACUGGAGUGUAGAAUUUGGAGGCAGAAUGAAUAAAGUGUUUCAUAUUUGGAAGUAUGACAAUUUUGCUCAUCGAACUGAAGUUUGGAAAGCUUUGGCCAAAGAUAAGGAAUGGCAGGAACAAUUUCUCAUUCCAAAUUUGGCUCUUAUUGAUAAACAAGAGAGUGAAAUUACUUAUCUGGUGCCAUGGUGCAAAUUAGAAAAACCUCCAAAAGAAGGAGUCUAUGAACUGGCUACUUUUCAGAUGAAACCUGGUGGGCCAGCUCUGUGGGGUGACCCAUUUAAAAGGGCAGUUCAUACUCAUAUCAAUCAAGGCUACACAAAAUUAGUUGGAGUGUUCCAUGCAGAAUAUGGAAUACUCAACAGAGUUCACGUUCUUUGGUGGAAUGAGAGUGCAGAUAGUCGUGCAGCUGGGAGACAUCGGUCUCACGAGGAUCCCAGAGUUGUGGCAGCUGUUCGGGAAAGUGUUAACUUCCUUGAAUCUCAGCAGAAUAUGCUUCUGAUUCCUGCAUCAUUUUCACCACUAAAAUAGUUUUCUGCUGAAAUACGAAGUAUUUCAUUAACUGCGAAGAGAUGUGUCUGCUAGUGGUGCUUAAAUUCUCCCAAGAGAUUCUCAUUUUUAUUUGAAGGAGGUGACCAGCUAGAACAUUUCCUGGGGCUACCCAGGGGCUGUCUCCUCCACCCAGUCCAGAGCCCUGAUGGAGAUUUAUAAAGCAGCAGCAGAGCGGAGUUCUUACCAACAAAAUUGGAGAGCCAGUAGAUGAUGGGCUUCAUUCUGCUGACGAACUGCAGGUCCUUCACUUUGCUGAUUCUCUCCUGGAUCAGAAACACGACAAAGCUGGCUGGGACGAAGGACACUGCAAAGAUGACCCAGAUGGACAUGAGGAUUUGCACUUGACAUGCUCUCCCUAGGAAGAGAAAAUAAGGAUCUGAGGGGUCAUGGAUGCAAUUGAGGAUUCAGUCAAGGACACACACAUGCAUACAAAUUCACAUGAAUAUCUGAAGCUCAGAAGAAGACAUCUGUUCAAUAAAUAAAAUAAAAUUAUUUUAUUCCAAGUUAAAACAUCAUUGUCAAGUCAAAAAACCUGACAAUUCAAAUGCAAAACUGAUUUCUCUGAGUUCAGAAGAGUCCAGCACUAAAGUGAAACUGUUGAAAGGGGUCUGAGAGACCCAGGUAUUCACUGUUUUUGAUCUUAUAAGAGCAGCAGGUUAUAAAUUCUCAUACGCACGAAGGACUGGUUUGGUCUGAAAACUUAUUAAUGCAAAAACAUUAGUGUGAAACUACUCAAAUAAGUUAAAUUCUUCUGGCUGUAAGUAAACUGGAAAACGGUGUAAAGUGUAUCAAUCUCACAGAAAAAUUCUAGCAAAUUCUUGGUAUAAGCAUGCUCUUAUGCCCAUUACACAGGGUCUUCUAUAAAAUUCCUAGUGACCUGUAUUGAUAUUCUGUAGGAGAUAAGCAGAAACAAUAAUUCCAUGCUCAAUAUACCUGAUCUACACUUUCAAGUAUUAAUUGUAACUCAGUCUUGACUGGCAUAAGAGCACUAAAUGCCAGUGAUGGCUUUGUAUUUAAAAGUUGUAAACAGUAAACUGUUAGGUGAUCAUAUUCACCUGCAAGCUACUCCCAGGGAUCAGCACUCUGGGCCCAUUUUUCUGACAUGUCUUGGGAUGUAUACUGUACCUUGCCCAGCUUUAAAUGUUUCUUCACUUCCUCAAUGACAUCCUUAACAUGACUCAAAGGAAUUGAUGGAGAAUUACUGGCACCCUGGGAAACCCACCAUACCUAAAAGGAUGGCCUGACAAUAAAAUCCAUGUGGAACACAGCAUUACUCGCA